GCGAACGCUGGCGGCGCGCCUAACACAUGCAAGUCGAGCGCACUCCUUUCGGGGGGUGAGCGGCGCACGGGUGAGUAAUGCGUGGGAACCUACCUUGGGGUUCGGGACAACGGCGGGAAACUGCCGCUAACACCGGAUACGGCCGGAAGGCGAAAGGUUACGCCCUUUGAUGGGCCCACGUCCGAUUAGCUUGUUGGUGAGGUAACGGCUCACCAAGGCUGCGAUCGGUAGCCGGUCUGAGAGGAUGAUCGGCCACACUGGGACUGAGACACGGCCCAGACUCCUACGGGAGGCAGCAGUGGGGAAUCUUGGACAAUGGGGGCAACCCUGAUCCAGCGACGCCGCGUGGGUGAUGAAGGCCUUCGGGUUGUAAAGCCCUUUUGUCGGGGACGAUGAUGACGGUACCCGGCGAAUAAGCACCGGCUAACUCUGU
This 433-nucleotide ribosomal RNA is filed under the name uncultured bacterium. RNAcentral's name for it is "bacterial SSU rRNA". It matches the Rfam family "Bacterial small subunit ribosomal RNA", at positions 30 to 506 of the family's 1533-position model. The record is from RNAcentral.